This is a long non-coding RNA of Cloeon dipterum, 732 nucleotides long. RefSeq lists it as uncharacterized. The record is from RefSeq and is a predicted model, not a curated record. The transcript has 3 exons. NCBI's taxonomy places the organism in Eukaryota, Metazoa, Arthropoda, Insecta, Ephemeroptera, Baetidae.
CGUGAUAGGCUGCAGCUGAUUGAAUUGCAAACCUGACAACAUCAACGCAAUAACCAUCAAUAUGAAAAAGGAAUCUCGCUACAAAUGAGAGAAAAUAUUAGAACGACCCAAAAUCAAAAGGAAAUUUCUACAAAGAGCGCCAGUGUUGUGACACUUCUUCGGCCUAAUCAGACCCAACGUGCGGCGCGCGGCCGCCAGCGACCGCAACCCAAGACCCAAGAGCCGUAUUUUAUUGAAGAGCAAGCAAGACAACCGAUAGUUCCCUAAUCUAGUAUUGUGGCAAUAAUUACUCUAGUCUGAGUGGGCCCUGCCCCGAUCAGGGAAAGCUGAGUUGCAGAGAGCCGCAACAGCCUAGAAGAAAUUUGAUACCACUCAACGACGAGCGCGUGAAAACUGAAUUGAAGUAGUGGCUAAUUGAAAUAAAUAAUAAUCCAAUCAAUACGUGCAGCUAUCAUUUUGAUAAAUCACCUUUUCUAGUAAAGCAAUAAUAAUAAUAAUAAAAAAAAUGUAUGCAACCCGCUUUGAAUUAAGAGGGUUAUGCAACCGGCAGUGCUGAUCAAAGGAAGUUAUAUGCAACCAGCUCAUCAUGUUAAGUGCCGUUUCUAGCCUGAAGGGUGAAACCGGUACGAAACCGCGUUUCAGACCAUUUCGGAUGGUGCAAUUUAAGCACAGUGUUUUGCUAUACGUUUCAUGCCAUGUUUUGUUAUAUGUUUUGUUACAGUUUUGGAUUAA